GGGGCUGUAGCUCAGAUGGGAGAGCGCGUCGUUCGCAAUGACGAGGUCAGGGGUUCGAUCCCCCUCAGCUCCA
Transfer RNA from Thioclava dalianensis, 73 nucleotides. It matches the Rfam family "tRNA". From Rfam's summary of the family: Transfer RNA (tRNA) molecules are approximately 80 nucleotides in length. Their secondary structure includes four short double-helical elements and three loops (D, anti-codon, and T loops). The record is from Rfam. Lineage: Bacteria; Pseudomonadati; Pseudomonadota; Alphaproteobacteria; Rhodobacterales; Paracoccaceae.